AUGCAUGGGGGGAGGGAUAAACCCAUGUGGAUGUUGACUUCUGACAGAAAAUUCACUGUCAAAUCACUAUAUAGGUUUCUGAUCAAGUCUGACAUAGGAUUCCCUAGGAAGUUUCUGUGGAAGACUAAAGUUCCUACGAAGAUUAGAUUCUUUCUUUGGCUACUAGCAAGAAAAAGUAUACUCACUAGAGACAAUUUGUUGAAGAGGGGCUGGAAAGGAGAUAAAAAUUGUGUAUUUUGUGGCAAAGAUGAAACGAUAGAUCAUCUGUUUUUUUCUUGCUUAGUAGCAAAAAUCAUCUGGGCUCUAGUGAGAUGUGCAUUUGAUUGA
Molecule: ribosomal RNA, 327 nt
Filed under: Triticum aestivum (bread wheat)
Lineage: Eukaryota; Viridiplantae; Streptophyta; Magnoliopsida; Poales; Poaceae
Description: partial small subunit ribosomal RNA
Source: RNAcentral